This 554-nucleotide ribosomal RNA is filed under the name Boletina gripha. Its description in RNAcentral is "partial 16S ribosomal RNA". It matches the Rfam family "Bacterial large subunit ribosomal RNA", at positions 1796 to 2620 of the family's 2925-position model. Lineage: Eukaryota; Metazoa; Arthropoda; Insecta; Diptera; Mycetophilidae. The record is from RNAcentral.
UCGCCUGUUUAUCAAAAACAUGUCUUUUUGUAAUUUAUUUAAAGUCUAACCUGCCCAUUGAAUAAUUUUAAAAGGCUGCGGUAUUUUGACCGUACAAAGGUAGCAUAAUCAUUAGUUUUUUAAUUGAAAACUCGUAUGAAUGGUUCAAUGAAAUAUUUUCUGUUUCAUAAAAAUUUAUAUAGAAAUUAAUUUUUUAGUUAAAAAGCUGAAAUGUAAUUAAAAGACGAGAAGACCCUAUAGAGUUUUAUAUAACAGUUUAUAUAAUUUAUUUAUAAUAAUUAAAGUUUUAUAAUUUUUUAUAUUUUGUUGGGGUGACAAUAAAAUUUUAUAACCUUUUAUUAUUUUUUAACAAUGAUUUUUGAAUAAUUGAUCCAUUUUUAAUGAUUAAAAGAUUAAAUUACCUUAGGGAUAACAGCGUAAUUUUUUUGUAGAGUUCUUAUCGAUAAAAAAUUUUGCGACCUCGAUGUUGGAUUAAGAAUAAUUUUAGGUGUAGAAGCUUAUUAAUUAGGUCUGUUCGACCUUUAAAUUCUUACGUGAUCUGAGUUCAGACCGGA